RNAcentral lists this ribosomal RNA (492 nucleotides) under uncultured bacterium. RNAcentral's name for it is "partial 16S ribosomal RNA". It matches the Rfam family "Bacterial small subunit ribosomal RNA", at positions 29 to 507 of the family's 1533-position model. The record is from RNAcentral.
AGUGAACGCUGGCGGUAGGCCUAACACAUGCAAGUCGAACGGCAGCACAGUAAUAGCUUGCUCUUACGGGUGGCGAGUGGCGGACGGGUGAGGAAUACAUCGGAAUCUACUUUUUCGUGGGGGAUAACGUAGGGAAACUUACGCUAAUACCGCAUACGACCUACGGGUGAAAGCAGGGGAUCUUCGGACCUUGCGCGAUUGAAUGAGCCGAUGUCGGAUUAGCUAGUUGGCGGGGUAAAGGCCCACCACGGCGACGAUCCGUAGCUGGUCUGAGAGGAUGAUCAGCCACACUGGAACUGAGACACGGUCCAGACUCCUACGGGAGGCAGCAGUGGGGAAUAUUGGACAAUGGGCGCAAGCCUGAUCCAGCCAUACCGAGUGGGUGAAGAAGGCCUUCGGGUUGUAAAGCCCUUUUGUUGGGAAAGAAAAGCAGCAGGUUAAUACCCCGCUGUUCUGACGGUACCCAAAGAAUAAGCACCGGCUAACUUCGUG